Molecule: ribosomal RNA, 385 nt
Filed under: uncultured bacterium
Lineage: Bacteria
Description: bacterial SSU rRNA
Rfam family: Bacterial small subunit ribosomal RNA
Source: RNAcentral
AUUGAACGCUGGCGGAAUGCUUUACACAUGCAAGUCGAACGGCAGCACGGGGCAACCUGGUGGCGAGUGGCGAACGGGUGAGUAAUAUAUCGGAACGUGCCCAAUCGUGGGGGGAUAACGUAGCGAAAGUUACGCUAAUACCGCAUACGAUCUACGGAUGAAAGCGGGGGAUCGCAAGACCUCGCGCGAAUGGAGCGGCCGAUAUCAGAUUAGGUAGUUGGUGGGGUAAAGGCUCACCAAGCCAACGAUUUGUAGCUGGUCUGAGAGGACGACCAGCCACACUGGAACUGAGACACGGUCCAGACUCCUACGGGAGGCAGCAGUGGGGAAUUUUGGACAAUGGGCGCAAGCCUGAUCCAGCCAUUCCGCGUGCAGGAUGAAGGCC